GGAUGAGAUAAAAAAACUGCAAUAAAGUCAAACGCCAUAAUUUGUACAUUUUUUUUUAAUUUUAUUAAAUAAAUGCAAAAAAAUGUCGAAAAUAGCAUCAAAUUUUAGAAUAAGUUUAGAUUUUUUCGAAUUGGUCACCUUUGGCACGAAUUAUGGCCUUCAAACGGCCAAUGAAACCGUCACCAACUGCCCGAAUGUUUUUUCCUGCCAAAUAUAAAGAAAUCACAAUAUCGCGCUUGAAUUCCAUCACGAAUAA
Long non-coding RNA from Musca vetustissima, 256 nucleotides. RefSeq lists it as uncharacterized. The transcript is spliced from 2 exons. NCBI's taxonomy places the organism in Eukaryota, Metazoa, Arthropoda, Insecta, Diptera, Muscidae. The record is from RefSeq and is a predicted model, not a curated record.